RNAcentral lists this ribosomal RNA (321 nucleotides) under uncultured Bacteroidales bacterium. RNAcentral's name for it is "bacterial SSU rRNA". It matches the Rfam family "Bacterial small subunit ribosomal RNA", at positions 28 to 339 of the family's 1533-position model. The record is from RNAcentral. Lineage: Bacteria; Pseudomonadati; Bacteroidota; Bacteroidia; Bacteroidales.
GAUGAACGCUAGCUACAGGCUUAACACAUGCAAGUCGAGGGGCAGCAUGACGGGUGCUUGCACUUGUUGAUGGCGACCGGCGCACUGGUGAGUAACACGUAUGCAACCUGCCCUUGAAAGGGGGAUAACCCGUGGAAACGCGGCCUAAUACCCCGUAGGCGCCGUCACCGCAUGACGACGGCGUGAGAGGAGCGAUCUGUUCAAGGAUGGGCAUGCGUCGCAUUAGCUAGUUGGUGAGGUAACGGCCCACCAAGGCGACGAUGCGUAGGGGUUCUGAGAGGAAGGUCCCCCACACUGGUACUGAGACACGGACCAGACUCC